This 426-nucleotide unclassified non-coding RNA is filed under the name soil metagenome. RNAcentral describes it as "partial contains 5.8S ribosomal RNA, internal transcribed spacer 2, and large subunit ribosomal RNA". The stretch from base 1 to 120 matches the Rfam family "5.8S ribosomal RNA", at positions 35 to 154 of the family's 154-position model. The record is from RNAcentral.
GAUGAAGAACGUAGCGAAAUGCGAUAAGUAAUGUGAAUUGCAGAUUUCAGUGAAUCAUCGAAUCUUUGAACGCACCUUGCGCCUUGUGGUAUUCCACAAGGCAUGCCCGUUUGAGUAUCAUUAAAUCAUCAACUCUAAAACCUUUGUGGUUUUUUUUAGAGCUUGGUCUUGAGGGUUUUGCAGGCUUUUUUUUUUUUUCUAGUCUGCUCCCUUUAAAUUCAUUAGCGAGACUUCCCUAUGCUGAACCGUCUCUUUGACGUGAUAAUUAUCUGCGUCGAAUUUUGGUUCUCGUUGGGCUUGCUUCUAAUCGUCUGUUAAAGACAAAACGGAUUUGGGUGCAUAUAUGCGCCUUUUUCCAAAACCUUUUUUUGAUCUCAAAUCGGGUAGGACUACCCGCUGAACUUAAGCAUAUCAAUAAGCGGAGGA